This 337-nucleotide unclassified non-coding RNA is filed under the name soil metagenome. RNAcentral describes it as "partial contains 5.8S ribosomal RNA, internal transcribed spacer 2, and large subunit ribosomal RNA". The stretch from base 1 to 120 matches the Rfam family "5.8S ribosomal RNA", at positions 35 to 154 of the family's 154-position model. The record is from RNAcentral.
GAUGAAGAACGCAGCGAAAUGCGAUAAGUAGUGUGAAUUGCAGAAUUCAGUGAAUCAUCGAAUCUUUGAACGCACAUUGCGCCCCUUGGUAUUCCAUGGGGCAUGCCUGUUCGAGCGUCAUUUGUACCUUCAAGCUCUGCUUGGUGUUGGGCGUUUGUCUCGCCUCUGCGUGUAGACUCGCCUCAAAACAAUUGGCAGCCGGCGUAUUGAUUUCGGAGCGCAGUACAUCUCGCGCUUUGCACUCAUAACGACGACGUCCAAAAGUACAUUUUUACACUCUUGACCUCGGAUCAGGUAGGGAUACCCGCUGAACUUAAGCAUAUCAAUAAGCGGAGGA